RNAcentral lists this ribosomal RNA (1415 nucleotides) under Bacillus pumilus. RNAcentral's name for it is "bacterial SSU rRNA". It matches the Rfam family "Bacterial small subunit ribosomal RNA". The record is from RNAcentral. Lineage: Bacteria; Bacillati; Bacillota; Bacilli; Caryophanales; Bacillaceae.
AGUCGAGCGGACAGAAGGGAGCUUGCUCCCGGAUGUUAGCGGCGGACGGGUGAGUAACACGUGGGUAACCUGCCUGUAAGACUGGGAUAACUCCGGGAAACCGGAGCUAAUACCGGAUAGUUCCUUGAACCGCAUGGUUCAAGGAUGAAAGACGGUUUCGGCUGUCACUUACAGAUGGACCCGCGGCGCAUUAGCUAGUUGGUGAGGUAACGGCUCACCAAGGCGACGAUGCGUAGCCGACCUGAGAGGGUGAUCGGCCACACUGGGACUGAGACACGGCCCCAGACUCCUACGGGAGGCAGCAGUAGGGAAUCUUCCGCAAUGGACGAAAGUCUGACGGAGCAACGCCGCGUGAGUGAUGAAGGUUUUCGGAUCGUAAAGCUCUGUUGUUAGGGAAGAACAAGUGCAAGAGUAACUGCUUGCACCUUGACGGUACCUAACCAGAAAGCCACGGCUAACUACGUGCCAGCAGCCGCGGUAAUACGUAGGUGGCAAGCGUUGUCCGGAAUUAUUGGGCGUAAAGGGCUCGCAGGCGGUUUCUUAAGUCUGAUGUGAAAGCCCCCGGCUCAACCGGGGAGGGUCAUUGGAAACUGGGAAACUUGAGUGCAGAAGAGGAGAGUGGAAUUCCACGUGUAGCGGUGAAAUGCGUAGAGAUGUGGAGGAACACCAGUGGCGAAGGCGACUCUCUGGUCUGUAACUGACGCUGAGGAGCGNAAAGCGUGGGGAGCGAACAGGAUUAGAUACCCUGGUAGUCCACGCCGUAAACGAUGAGUGCUAAGUGUUAGGGGGUUUCCGCCCCUUAGUGCUGCAGCUAACGCAUUAAGCACUCCGCCUGGGGAGUACGGUCGCAAGACUGAAACUCAAAGGAAUUGACGGGGGCCCGCACAAGCGGUGGAGCAUGUGGUUUAAUUCGAAGCAACGCGAAGAACCUUACCAGGUCUUGACAUCCUCUGACAACCCUAGAGAUAGGGCUUUCCCUUCGGGGACAGAGUGACAGGUGGUGCAUGGUUGUCGUCAGCUCGUGUCGUGAGAUGUUGGGUUAAGUCCCGCAACGAGCGCAACCCUUGAUCUUAGUUGCCAGCAUUCAGUUGGGCACUCUAAGGUGACUGCCGGUGACAAACCGGAGGAAGGUGGGGAUGACGUCAAAUCAUCAUGCCCCUUAUGACCUGGGCUACACACGUGCUACAAUGGACAGAACAAAGGGCUGCGAGACCGCAAGGUUUAGCCAAUCCCACAAAUCUGUUCUCAGUUCGGAUCGCAGUCUGCAACUCGACUGCGUGAAGCUGGAAUCGCUAGUAAUCGCGGAUCAGCAUGCCGCGGUGAAUACGUUCCCGGGCCUUGUACACACCGCCCGUCACACCACGAGAGUUUGCAACACCCGAAGUCGGUGAGGUAACCUUUAUGGAGCCAGCCGC